RNAcentral lists this ribosomal RNA (591 nucleotides) under uncultured bacterium. RNAcentral's name for it is "bacterial SSU rRNA". The stretch from base 1 to 516 matches the Rfam family "Bacterial small subunit ribosomal RNA", at positions 338 to 873 of the family's 1533-position model. The record is from RNAcentral.
CCUACGGGAGGCAGCAGUAGGGAAUCUUGCGCAAUGGGCGAAAGCCUGACGCAGCCAUGCCGCGUGAAUGAUGAAGGUCUUAGGAUUGUAAAAUUCUUUCACCGGGGACGAUAAUGACGGUACCCGGAGAAGAAGCCCCGGCUAACUUCGUGCCAGCAGCCGCGGUAAUACGAAGGGGGCUAGCGUUGCUCGGAAUUACUGGGCGUAAAGGGAGCGUAGGCGGAUAGUUUAGUCAGAGGUGAAAGCCCAGGGCUCAACCUUGGAACUGCCUUUGAUACUGGCUAUCUUGAGUAUGGGAGAGGUGAGUGGAACUCCGAGUGUAGAGGUGAAAUUCGUAGAUAUUCGGAAGAACACCAGUGGCGAAGGCGACUCACUGGCCCAUUACUGACGCUGAGGCUCGAAAGCGUGGGGAGCAAACAGGAUUAGAUACCCUGGUAGUCCACGCCGUAAACGAUGAGUGCUAGUUGUCGGCAUGCAUGCAUGUCGGUGACGCAGCUACGCAUAAGACACUCCGCCGUGGGAGGUACGGUCGCAGAUAAACUACGAAGAAGUAGACGNGNGAGAGUGCGACGACGACGACGAGGGAGGAGG